This 754-nucleotide ribosomal RNA is filed under the name uncultured Acidobacteriaceae bacterium. Its description in RNAcentral is "bacterial SSU rRNA". It matches the Rfam family "Bacterial small subunit ribosomal RNA", at positions 136 to 904 of the family's 1533-position model. The record is from RNAcentral. Lineage: Bacteria; Pseudomonadati; Acidobacteriota; Terriglobia; Terriglobales; Acidobacteriaceae.
GUGGGGAAUAACGUUCGGAAACGGACGCUAAUACCGCAUAACGCAGCGGCACCGCAAGGUGACAGUUGUUAAAGGAGCAAUCCGCUUGAGGAGGAGCUUGCGGCAGAUUAGCUAGUUGGUAGGGUAAUGGCUUACCAAGGCUACGAUCUGUAUCCGGUCUAAGAGGACGGUCGGACACACUGACACUGAAUAACGGGUCAGACUCCUACGGGAGGCAGCAGUCGGGAAUUUUGGGCAAUGGGCGAAAGCCUGACCCAGCAACGCCGCGUGAAGGAUGAAGUAUUUCGGUAUGUAAACUUCGAAAGAAUAGGAAGAAUAAAUGACGGUACUAUUUAUAAGCUCCGGCUAACUACGUGCCAGCAGCCGCGGUAAUACGUAGGGAGCAAGCGUUGUUCGGAUUUACUGGGCGUAAAGGGCGCGUAGGCGGCGCGGUAAGUCACUUGUGAAAUCUCUGAGCUUAACUCAGAACGGCCAAGUGAUACUGCAGUGCUAGAGUGCAGAAAGGGCAAUCGGAAUUCUUGGUGUAGCGGUGAAAUGCGUAGAUAUCAAGAGGAACACCUGAGGCGAAGGCGGGUUGCUAGGCUGACACUGACGCUGAGGCGCGAAAGCCAGGGGAGCAAACGGGAUUAGAUACCCCGGUAGUCCUGGCCCUAAACGAUGAAUACUUGGUGUCUGGAGUUUCAAUACUCCGGGUGCCGUCGCUAACGUUUUAAGUAUUCCGCCUGGGGAGUACGCUCGCAAGAGUGAAACUCAA